Molecule: long non-coding RNA, 130 nt
Organism: Poecilia latipinna (sailfin molly)
Lineage: Eukaryota; Metazoa; Chordata; Actinopteri; Cyprinodontiformes; Poeciliidae
Exons: 3
Source: RefSeq, a predicted model, not a curated record
CAGCUGCUUUCACUAAGUUUUUGUAAUAUUUGUUAGUCUUACAUCACACAUCCUGAUGACAGUUGAUGGAUCUUCAGCCAGAUAUGUAGCGUGGCAAACCAAGCAGAGCAGCAGCCCUUCUCCUUUCAUU